RNAcentral lists this ribosomal RNA (396 nucleotides) under Dicerura dentata. RNAcentral's name for it is "partial 12S ribosomal RNA". Lineage: Eukaryota; Metazoa; Arthropoda; Insecta; Diptera; Cecidomyiidae. The record is from RNAcentral.
UAUUAUUCUAUAUUUUAUUAAAUUUAAUAUUAUAAAUUAAUAAAAAUAAUUUUUAAAAUUAAAAAAUUUGGCAGUAUUUUAUAAAAUUAGAGGAUUUUGUUUAAUUAUUGAUAAUACACAUUAUAAUUUACUUAUUUUAUAAAAAUUUUGUAUAUCGUUGUCAUAAAAUUAUCUUAAAAUAGAAUUUUUAAUAAAAUUAAUAUAUUUUAAAUGUCAAAUCAAGGUGCAAUUAAUAAAUAAAGUUAAAAUGAAAUACAAUAAAAAUAUUUAAACGGUAAAUUAAUUGAAAAAUUAAUUUUAAGGUGGAUUUAAUAGUAAAUAUUAAUAUUUAUUAUUAUUGAAUUUUAUUUAAAAUGUGUACAUAUUGCCCGUCGCUUUUAUUAAAUUUUAAAAUAA